GCCAACGACCAUACCACGCUGAAUACAUCGGUUCUCGUCCGAUCACCGAAAUUAAGCAGCGUCGGGCGCGGUUAGUACUUAGAUGGGGGACCGCUUGGGAACACCGCGUGUUGUUGGCCUCGUCCACAACUUUUU
This is a ribosomal RNA of Drosophila melanogaster (fruit fly), 135 nucleotides long. NCBI's taxonomy places the organism in Eukaryota, Metazoa, Arthropoda, Insecta, Diptera, Drosophilidae. The record is from Ensembl.